Molecule: long non-coding RNA, 653 nt
Organism: Gadus macrocephalus (Pacific cod)
Lineage: Eukaryota; Metazoa; Chordata; Actinopteri; Gadiformes; Gadidae
Exons: 2
Source: RefSeq, a predicted model, not a curated record
CACACAAAGACCUCCUUCUACUUCUGAGUCAUAAUGUCACACCCAACAUAAUGGUUAAUAAACUGAAUAAAAGCCCUGGAUUUUUCCGGGUUUGUUCAACAGAGCAGAACUUCUGGCUACCACCUAGGCCACACGUUGAUUAUAUCUCUGUCUUUCACUUAUUUUCAAUAUGAAAACUUUGGCUUUGAUUCUGGGAGUGCUUGCUUUGAUGGGCAUACAGGUUUUUGGAGAAGAUUCUGACUCUGCCACGCCGGUAUGCUGCACUACCAAGAUAUCACUAGCUCAAAGUAUCAUGACAACGGGAGCUACGACUCACAUGACAACAGGAGGCCCAACUACCAAUAAACCAGCAGCUCCAACUACAAAGAAAAUAGAGACUUCAAAUACCAUGACAACAACAGCUCCAAUUACCAUGAUAACGGGAGGUUCAACUACCACGACAACAGUAGCUCCAACUACCAAAACAACAGCAGCUCCAACUACCAAAACAACAGCAGCUCCAACUACCAAAACAACAGCAGCUCCAACUACCAAAACAACAGCAGCUCCAACUACCAAAACAACAGCAGCUCCAACUACCAAAACAACAGCAGCUCCAACUACCAAAACAACAGCAGCUCCAACUACCCUGACAACGGCAGCUCCAACUAUCA